Molecule: ribosomal RNA, 3230 nt
Filed under: soda lake metagenome
Description: bacterial LSU rRNA
Rfam family: Bacterial large subunit ribosomal RNA
Source: RNAcentral
AGGGCGUACGGUGGAUGCCUUGGCGCCAGGAGGCGAAGAAGGACGCGGCCAGCGGCGAAACGCCACGGCGAGCCGUAAGCAGGCAGCGAACCGUGGAUGUCCGAAUGGGGGAACCCACCUGGGAUAGAUCCCAGGUACCGUAUGGUGAAUCAAGUAGCCAUACGGGGCCAGACCCGGUGAACUGAAACAUCUUAGUAACCGGAGGAACAGAAAGCAACUAAGCGAUUUCCCAAGUAGCGGCGAGCGAACGGGAAAUAGCCUAAACUGCGGCAGUUGAAAAGCCUGACUGCGUUGCUGUCGUGGGGUUGAGGGGAGUACUGAUCCUCCAGUCAGGGAGGAGCUGAUAUAGGAUAUAGCUAGCCGAAUAAGGUUGGAAAGCCAAGCCAAAGAGGGUGAAAGCCCCGUAGGCGAAAGUUAUAUACUAAUCAGUAGUACUACCCCGAGUACCACGGGGCUCGAGUAACCCUGUGGGAAGCAGGGAGGUCCACCUCCCAAGGCUAAAUACUCCCUGGCGACCGAUAGCGCACAAGUACCGUGAGGGAAAGGUGAAAAGCACCCCGGGAGGGGAGUGAAAAAGAACCUGAAACCGUAUGCCUACAAUCAGUGGGAGCACCGUAAGGUGUGACCGCGUACUUUUUGUAGUACGGGCCGGCGAGUUACGAUCUAGAGCGAGGUUAAGGGCCAAAGGUCCGGAGCCGUAGGGAAACCGAGUCUGAAAAGGGCGUAUAGUUUUAGGUCGUAGACACGAAACCAGGUGACCUACCCAUGGCCAGGGUGAAGCUCGGGUAAAACCGAGUGGAGGCCCGCACCCACCGACGUUGAAAAGUCGGGGGAUGAGCUGUGGGUAGAGGUGAAAUGCUAAUCGAACCUGGAGAUAUCUUGUUCUCCCCGAAAUAGCUUUAGGGCUAGCCUCGAGGGUUGAGUAAUGGAGGUAGAGCACUGAUUGGGCUAGGGUCCCCAUCCGGAUACCGAACCCAGUCAAACUCCGAAUGCCAUUACUUAAGACCUCGGGAGUCAGACCAUGGGUGAUAAGAUUCAUGGUCGAGAGGGAAACAGCCCAGACCAUCAGCUAAGGUCCCCAAGUACAGACUAAGUGGGAAAGGAAGUGGGAUCGCAGAGACAACCAGGAUGUUGGCCUAGAAGCCGCCAUCAUUUAAAGAGUGCGUAACAGCUCACUGGUCAAGCGAUCCUGCGCCGAAAAUUUCCGGGGCUAAAGUCUGUCACCGAAGCUAUGGCUUAUGCGGCACUUAACCUAAUCUUUUAAGUUAAGCAACCAAUGGAAAUUUCGUGGAUGUUUUGCGAGCGACGAAGUAAAUAGCGAAGCAAAACACCACCAAAUAAAACAGCUAAAGUCAAAAGCUUAGGUGGUGAAGAUAGCGAAGCAAAACACCACCAAAUAAAACAGCUAAAGUCAAAAACUUUGGUGGUGAAGAUAGCGAAGCAAAACACCACCAAAUAAAACAGCUAAAGUCAAAUUUAGAGGAUUAGGUUAAGUGCCGUAUAGGGGUAGGGGAGCGUUCCUUAAGGUUAGAAGUCGCAUCGGAAGGUGCGGUGGACUUUAGGGAAGUGAGAAUGCCGGCAUGAGUAACGAGAGACAGGUGAGAAACCUGUCCGCCGAAAGCCCAAGGUUUCCUGAGGAAGGCUUGUCCGCUCAGGGUAAGUCGGGACCUAAGCCGAGGCCGAAAGGCGUAGGCGAUGGGAAACUGGUGGAGAUUCCAGUACCACUUAAGACCGUUACGAGCGAAGGGGUGACGCAGUAGGGUAGGCCGAGCGCGGUGUUGGUAUCCGCGUCCAAGCGACCGAGGUAGCAGGGAUAGGCAAAUCCGUUCCUGUGAUAAUCUGAGGCGCGAUGGGGAGUGAAACAAUAAGUAACGAACUCGCUGAUCUCACACUGCCAGGAAAAGCCUCUAGCCAGGUUUUUAAGUGCCCGUACCGUAAACCGACACAGGUGGGCUGGGUGAGUAACCCUAGGCGACCGGGAGAACCCUUGUUAAGGAACUCGGCAAAAUGGCCCCGUAACUUCGGGAGAAGGGGUGCCCCGUUAGGGUGAUUGUUAACUCAUGAGCCUGAGGGGGCCGCAGUGAAAAGGCCCGAGCGACUGUUUACCAAAAACACAGGUCUCUGCUAAGUCGAAAGACGAAGUAUAGGGGCUGACGUCUGCCCGGUGCUGGAAGGUUAAGGGGAAGAGUUAGCCCUUUUGGGCGAAGCUCCGAACCUAAGCCCCAGUAAACGGCGGCCGUAACUAUAACGGUCCUAAGGUAGCGAAAUUCCUUGUCGGGUAAGUUCCGACCCGCACGAAAGACGCAACGACUUCGGCACUGUCUCAACAAGGGACCCGGUGAAAUUGAACUACCUGUGAAGAUGCAGGUUACCCGCGACUAGACGGAAAGACCCCGUGGAGCUUUACUGCAGCCUGACAUUGGGUUUCGGUAUCGGAUGUACAGGAUAGGUGGGAGGCUUUGAAACCGGGGCGCAAGCCUCGGUGGAGCCAUCCGUGGGAUACCACCCUUCCGGUACUGAAAUUCUAACCGUGAGCCGUAAUCCGGUUCCGGGACAGUGUCAGGUGGGCAGUUUGACUGGGGCGGUCGCCUCCUAAAGAGUAACGGAGGCGCCCAAAGGUUCCCUCAGCGCGGUUGGAAAUCGCGCGCAGAGUGCAAAGGCACAAGGGAGCUUGACUGCGACACCGACGGGUGAAGCAGGUACGAAAGUAGGGCUUAGUGAUCCGGCGGUUCCGAGUGGAAGGGCCGUCGCUCAACGGAUAAAAGCUACCCCGGGGAUAACAGGCUUAUCUCCCCCAAGAGUCCACAUCGACGGGGAGGUUUGGCACCUCGAUGUCGGCUCAUCGCAUCCUGGGGCUGAAGUAGGUCCCAAGGGUUGGGCUGUUCGCCCAUUAAAGCGGUACGUGAGCUGGGUUCAGAACGUCGUGAGACAGUUCGGUCCCUAUCUGUCGCGGGCGUAGGAGACUUGAGUGGAGCCGUCCCUAGUACGAGAGGACCGGGACGGACGGACCCCUGGUGUACCAGUUGUCUUGCCAAGGGCAUCGCUGGGUAGCCACGUCCGGACGGGAUAAGCGCUGAAGGCAUCUAAGCGCGAAGCCCUCCACAAGAUGAGGUCUCCAGCCUACAUCCGUGUAGGAUAAGACCCCAGAUAGAUGAUCUGGUCGAUAGGCCAGAGGUGUAAGGAGAGCAAUCUCUUUAGCUGACUGGUACUAAUAGGUCGAAGCCUUGACC